CGGGUGAGUAACACGUAGGUAAUCUACCUUCGGGUGGGGAAUAACGCAGGGAAACUUGCGCUAAUACCGCAUAAUGCAGCGGCACCACAUGGUGACAGUUGUUAAAGCGGGGGCUUUUCGGACCUCGCGCCUGAAGAGGAGCCUGCGGCAGAUUAGCUAGUUGGUAAGGUAACGGCUUACCAAGGCGACGAUCUGUAACCGGCCUGAGAGGGCGGUCGGUCACACUGACACUGACAUACGGGUCAGACUCCUACGGGAGGCAGCAGUCGGGAAUUUUGGGCAAUGGGCGCAAGCCUGACCCAGCAACGCCGCGUGAAGGAUGAAAUCCCUCGGGAUGUAAACUUCGCAAGAAUGGGAAGAAUGAACGAGCGCUAACACCGUUCGUGAUGACGGUACCAUUUGUAAGCUCCGGCUAACUCCGUGCCAGCAGCCGCGGUAAUACGGGGGGAGCAAGCGUUGUUCGGAUUUACUGGGCGUAAAGGGCGCGUAGGCGGCCAGCGCAAGUCAGUUGUGAAAUCUCCGGGCUUAACUCGGAAAGGUCAACUGAUACUGCGCGGCUAGAGUGCGGAAGGGGCAACUGGAAUUCUCGGUGUAGCGGUGAAAUGCGUAGAUAUCGAGAGGAAC
This 624-nucleotide ribosomal RNA is filed under the name uncultured bacterium. RNAcentral describes it as "bacterial SSU rRNA". It matches the Rfam family "Bacterial small subunit ribosomal RNA", at positions 103 to 707 of the family's 1533-position model. The record is from RNAcentral.